AUUAAUUAUGUUAAAGCGCCUUACCUUAGGGUUUCCUCUGGGGUAAGUGAUUGCUUCUACACUGUGAAAAUUUGGCUGAGAGACUCAGACUGGUCAUGGGUAGACCUAUCUGGGGUUUGAUCGAUGCCACUCCUGGUUUCAGGAGUACCCUUCAUAAUAAACCUAGAAAUUCAGUAUUAUAAAGUUUAAUAAAAAACAACUUUUAACAAUGGAUCUCUUGGUUCUCGCAUCGAUGAAGAACGUAGCAAAGUGCGAUAACUAGUGUGAAUUGCAUAUUCAGUGAAUCAUCGAGUCUUUGAACGCAGCUUGCACUCUAUGGUUUUUCUAUAGAGUACGCCUGCUUCAGUAUCAUCACAAACCCACACAUAACAUUUGUUUAUGUGGUGAUGGGUCGCAUCGCUGUUUUAUUACAGUGAGCACCUAAAAUGUGUGUGAUUUUCUGUCUGGCUUGCUAGGCAGGAAUAUUACGCUGGUCUCAGGAUCUUUUUUUUUGGUUCGCCCAGGAAGUAAAGUACAAGAGUAUAAUCCAGUAACUUUCAAACUAUGAUCUGAAGUCAGGUGGGAUUACCCGCUGAACUUAAGCAUAUCAAU
Molecule: ribosomal RNA, 591 nt
Filed under: Rhizopus arrhizus
Lineage: Eukaryota; Fungi; Mucoromycota; Mucoromycetes; Mucorales; Rhizopodaceae
Description: eukaryotic LSU rRNA
Rfam family: 5.8S ribosomal RNA (bases 198-351)
Source: RNAcentral